GCCCUGGUAGCUCAGUGGUGGAGCAUUCGGCUGUUAACCGGAGGGUCGGAGGUUCGAAUCCUCCCUAGGGCG
RNAcentral lists this transfer RNA (72 nucleotides) under Candidatus Iainarchaeum sp. RNAcentral's name for it is "tRNA-Asn". It matches the Rfam family "tRNA". From Rfam's summary of the family: Transfer RNA (tRNA) molecules are approximately 80 nucleotides in length. Their secondary structure includes four short double-helical elements and three loops (D, anti-codon, and T loops). Further hydrogen bonds mediate the characteristic L-shaped molecular structure. tRNAs have two regions of fundamental functional importance: the anti-codon, which is responsible for specific mRNA codon recognition, and the 3' end, to which the tRNAs corresponding amino acid is attached (by aminoacyl-tRNA synthetases). tRNAs cope with the degeneracy of the genetic code in two manners: having more than one tRNA (with a specific anti-codon) for a particular amino acid; and 'wobble' base-pairing, i.e. permitting non-standard base-pairing at the 3rd anti-codon position. The record is from RNAcentral. Lineage: Archaea; Nanobdellati; Candidatus Iainarchaeota; Candidatus Iainarchaeia; Candidatus Iainarchaeales; Candidatus Iainarchaeaceae.